Long non-coding RNA from Bactrocera neohumeralis, 246 nucleotides. RefSeq lists it as uncharacterized. Lineage: Eukaryota; Metazoa; Arthropoda; Insecta; Diptera; Tephritidae. The transcript has 2 exons. The record is from RefSeq and is a predicted model, not a curated record.
AAACUAUAUUCUUUAAACCUAUAAAGACGAUAUGUGAAAUUCGAGUUAAGUUAUUUUAUGUACGCCAAGUUUUGAUACCUUUCUCCCAAGAAGAUCGAAAAUAUGAGUGAAGGAACAAAAAAUUUACUAUGGAAGAUACGUGGGUUCCAAGCCACAGCUGCCAUCUGCAUGUUAAAAACUAGUCUUAAGAGAGUUUUGACAAAGUUCUCAUGAAUAAAACAGACUUCUUCUAAAACAAAAAAUCAA